UGGGGAAUAUUGCACAAUGGGCGAAAGCCUGAUGCAGCGACGCCACGUGAGGGAUGACGGCCUUCGGGUUGUAAACCUCUUUCAGUAGGGACGAAGCGCAAGUUACGGUACCUGCAGAAGAAGCACCGGCUAACUACGUGCCAGCAGCCGCGGUAAUACGUAGGGUGCGAGCGUUGUCCGGAAUUACUGGGCGUAAAGAGCUCGUAGGCGGUUUGUCACGUCGUCUGUGAAAUCCUAGGGCUUAACCCUGGACGUGCAGGCGAUACGGGCUGACUUGAGUACUACAGGGGAGACUGGAAUUUCUGGUGUAGCGGUGGAAUGCACAGAUAUCAGGAAGAACACCGAUGGCGAAGGCAGGUCUCUGGGUAGUAACUGACGCUGAGGAGCGAAAGCAUGGGUAGCGAACAGG
This 409-nucleotide ribosomal RNA is filed under the name bacterium. RNAcentral's name for it is "partial 16S ribosomal RNA". It matches the Rfam family "Bacterial small subunit ribosomal RNA", at positions 355 to 776 of the family's 1533-position model. The record is from RNAcentral.